Molecule: long non-coding RNA, 1442 nt
Filed under: Lathyrus oleraceus (garden pea)
Lineage: Eukaryota; Viridiplantae; Streptophyta; Magnoliopsida; Fabales; Fabaceae
Description: Pisum sativum (pea) long non-coding RNA (PSAT_LNC009634)
Source: RNAcentral
AGAGAGAGAGAGAGAGAGAGAGAGAGAGAGAGAGAGAGAGAGGAUCAUCAUCACCACCACCUAAUCAUGUCAAUUUCUCCAUCAUCUUCAUCUAUAAAGGUGAGUUCUUAUAUAUAAUUAGCUUUGGGAGAUUUUGCAUGAAAGGGGAAAACCAAGGGUUUGUGUGUUAUUGUAUAAACCAUGGAAUUGAUACUCAUCAAUGAUGUUCUUGUUGUCUUUUUGAUUUCUUGUGAUAAGUCAAUGAUGAUUGUGUUGUUGUUCAUACUUGUCCUUGCUUCUAUGUGUUGAUAUUAUGUUGUUGUUGUUGUUGUUGUUGUCUUUGAUUACAUGUUUGCAUAUGUGUUUUGUUCUUGAAGCUAUACCUCACAAUCACUUGGUUAGUGUUUAUAUUUUGGAAUGGUUUAGUAUGGUUUGCUAGAACAAGAUUUGGUUCUGCAUCUAUACCUUGAGUUUUGUUGAUAACAAUGUUGUAUUUGUGUGAGAAUAAUUUUGGUACGCUAAUGGUUUGUUAUUGUGUAGCUUUAACAGUCAGUUCUGAUUCUAAGUACAUGACGUGCAACAUCAUCAGUUUUUGAACAAUGAGUUCCAAAUCCGCUUCUGUGCCAGCUAUUAGAAGUUCUGAAAGAUGUUCAAUAUUACUAUUGCAAUGAUCUUUCUACUUAUGUGCUGAUUCAUUCUUGAGAAGCUUCUGAGGAGACACUAUGUUGUUGCUGCAAUGUUCUCUCAUUUCGUGCUUUUGGACGUGACUCUGAUCACCCAACUUUUGAAGAAUGGCAAGCUUCUGAAGUUAUAUUUCGUAGCUGAAGAUUUUGAAGAUCUCAAGCCAGACGAUUGAGGUUAUCAAGGUUAUGACUAUAGAUUCUGAAGACUCUGAAGAUACCGAAGAUCUCAAACCAGACUACUGACACUGUCAAGGUUCUGACCGGAGAUUCUGAAAUUUCUAAAUCCAACUCUAUGUUUCUUCAUUUCAUGCUUCAUCAACUUUCAUCAGAAGCUAAUGAACUUGAAGAUAAGAUCAAAAGAGAACGUGAUCAAAUAGUACAUAGUACAAAUCAAAUAUCCUUUCCACUACCUGAUUUCGUGGGCAAAUGACAGUACUAUACAUCACACCUGUCACUGAUUUGGGCGAAGGACAGUACGGAAUAUCACUCCUUGCACCAUCCAACAGUAGACAACCGUUCUAUGAGCUUUCCCCAUUUUAUCCUCCAACGGUCUUCUUCUUAUGUUAUAUAAGUAAGACUUGGAGACUUGAACAAAAGUCGUCGGUGUUACAACAUUUUGACAAGUCUAUUUCUUUGUGAAAGUCUAUCAUUCUUUUGUACACAGUUUUUCUUUAAGUGUUUGUUUAUCAUUUGUGUAAAGUCUGCUUGUAUAGAAUCAACUUGUAACACAAAAUAUUAUUCAAACUAUUUGUUUGAUUCCUUAAGGAGGUUAUACUUGAG